This 692-nucleotide ribosomal RNA is filed under the name uncultured bacterium. RNAcentral describes it as "bacterial SSU rRNA". It matches the Rfam family "Bacterial small subunit ribosomal RNA", at positions 94 to 802 of the family's 1533-position model. The record is from RNAcentral.
ACCGGCGCACGGGUGCGUAACGCGUAUAGACCUACCUUUUACAGAGGAGUAGCCUUUAGAAAUGAAGAUUAAUGCCUUAUAGUCUCGCAUGAGUAAAGAUUUAUCGGUAAAAGAUGGCUAUGCGUCCUAUUAGCUAGAUGGUAAGGUAACGGCUUACCAUGGCAACGAUAGGUAGGGGUCCUGAGAGGGAGAUCCCCCACACUGGUACUGAGACACGGACCAGACUCCUACGGGAGGCAGCAGUGAGGAAUAUUGGGCAAUGGAGGCAACUCUGACCCAGCCAUGCCGCGUGCAGGAAGAAGGCCUAUGGGUUGUAAACUGCUUUUAUACAGGAAGAAACAGCUCUACGUGUAGAGCCUUGACGGUACUGUAAGAAUAAGCACCGGCUAACUCCGUGCCAGCAGCCGCGGUAAUACGGAGGGUGCAAGCGUUAUCCGGAAUCAUUGGGUUUAAAGGGUCCGCAGGCGGUCAAUUAAGUCAGAGGUGAAAUCCCAUAGCUUAACUAUGGAACUGCCUUUGAUACUGGUUGACUUGAGUCAUAUGGAAGUAGAUAGAAUGUGUAGUGUAGCGGUGAAAUGCAUAGAUAUUACACAGAAUACCCAUUGCGAAGGCAGUCUACUACGUAUGUACUGACGCUCAUGGACGAACGGCGGAGGAGCCGACAGGAUAGAAUACCCUGGUAGUUCCGCCCG